CCUACGGGUGGCAGCAGUGGGGAAUAUUGGGCAAUGGGCGCAAGCCUGACCCAGCAACGCCGUGUGAAGGAAGAAGGCCCUCGGGUUGUAAACUUCUUUUGUCGGGGACGAAACAAAUGACGGUACCCGACGAAUAAGCCACGGCUAACUACGUGCCAGCAGCCGCGGUAAUACGUAGGUGGCAAGCGUUAUCCGGAUUUACUGGGUGUAAAGGGCGUGUAGGCGGGAGUGCAAGUCAGAUGUGAAAAUUAUGGGCUCAACCCAUAACCUGCAUUUGAAACUGUACUUCUUGAGUGAUGGAGAGGCAGGCGGAAUUCCGUGUGUAGCGGUGAAAUGCGUAGAUAUACGGAGGAACACCAGUGGCGAAGGCGGCCUGCUGGACAUUAACUGACGCUGAGGCGCGAAAGCGUGGGGAGCAAACAGGAUUAGAUACCCGGGUAGUCGUG
This 446-nucleotide ribosomal RNA is filed under the name uncultured Oscillospira sp. Its description in RNAcentral is "bacterial SSU rRNA". It matches the Rfam family "Bacterial small subunit ribosomal RNA", at positions 338 to 799 of the family's 1533-position model. Lineage: Bacteria; Bacillati; Bacillota; Clostridia; Eubacteriales; Oscillospiraceae. The record is from RNAcentral.